Molecule: long non-coding RNA, 339 nt
Organism: Trematomus bernacchii (emerald rockcod)
Lineage: Eukaryota; Metazoa; Chordata; Actinopteri; Perciformes; Nototheniidae
Exons: 3
Source: RefSeq, a predicted model, not a curated record
AUCCAAAUCAGCUGUGACUAUUACGAGUGUGUUCUUGUUCUGGUCAUCGUUGUCUGGCUGAUAGGAGUGUAUUUCCCCUAUACGAGGCUUCUUGGCAGCCCCAGCAGAGACCGUGUAAAGAAUCACCGCUGCGGAGGUGUCCAGUGAGUGACAAUCCUGUCCAUAUGUGGAGCGGAGCAUGUGGGUUGCUGGGCACUUUUUGCAUGCAGAUAGAGCCAGCCUCCAAUUGUGAGAUGUAGGUGUAUCUACUGGGGAAGCUCAACAAGUUUUAAUCUGUAUUUUAUAAAUACUGAACUCUUACCUGAUUAUUUAUGUAAUAAACUUUUGUAAACAUUUGAA